Molecule: non-coding RNA, 731 nt
Organism: Phascolarctos cinereus (koala)
Lineage: Eukaryota; Metazoa; Chordata; Mammalia; Diprotodontia; Phascolarctidae
Source: RefSeq, a predicted model, not a curated record
UGAGUAUUCAUCACGGAGUGGUGCUGGUGCAGGUGGUACUGUUUAUGAAACCCAUGACUCUCAAAUUCUGGGCUCACAUGGACUAGUUGCAGUCAAUAUUCUUUGGACUUCUAUUGCCUCACCUAGAGCUUAACCUGGGAAAUCUUAGAAUAUAGCUUGUGCUUUAGAGUUCCAGAGAGGAAGAUAAAAGAAGUUCUGAGUUCCUGUACAAGCACCCAAGGUUAGGAGCCCUACUCCCCAGCUUUUCCUGCUAAGGCAAGGUCAUCUUGGAAGCACCUGCCAUUCUCCGGGACUUUAUUCUCCAAAAGCUUGGGAAGUGAAGCUUCUGCGGCCUGAAUCACUCUGUGCGCUGAAUUGACCCUGACCCCAUCCCCCAACCCCGGGCUAGAAGGAGGAAACCUUCUGCUUGAAAAAGUGCUGUAACAAAAAGAAGGUAACUUGCUCGUUCUAGAUUCUGAGCCAUCUGGCCAAGGCAUUCUCUCAACUUUGUCAUCUGUAAAAUUGGGGGGACGAUGAACUAAAAGACCUCUGACCUUUCUUCUAGCUCCGAAGCUCUAACAGAAGGAAUCGGUAAAACAAGAGAAAUAGGAAGAUAUUGCAAGGAUCAUCUUGAAACAAAGAAUCUCGUGGCAAGCAUUAUUUUAUUUGUCCAGCGUGUGCGUAGCACGUAGUAAGAGUUUAAUAAAAUAUUGUUGACUGACUGAUCACCCAGUGAAUCUCUGCUUUAUUGA